UACGUAGGGGGCCAGCGUUGCUCGGAAUAACUGGGCGUAAAGGGUUCGUAGGCGGUGCGGAAAGUUGGGAGUGAAAUCUCUGGGCUUAACUCAGAGACUGCUUUCAAAACUUCCGUGCUCGAGUGCGAGAGAGGCAAGUGGAAUUGCAGGUGUAGCGGUGAAAUGCGUAGAUAUCUGCAGGAACACCCGUGGCGAAGGCGGCUUGCUGGAUCGCAACUGACGCUGAGGAACGAAAGCUAGGGGAGCGAACAGG
Molecule: ribosomal RNA, 253 nt
Filed under: uncultured bacterium
Lineage: Bacteria
Description: partial 16S ribosomal RNA
Rfam family: Bacterial small subunit ribosomal RNA
Source: RNAcentral